RNAcentral lists this long non-coding RNA (356 nucleotides) under Bos taurus (domestic cattle). RNAcentral's name for it is "long non-coding RNA NONBTAT022181". Lineage: Eukaryota; Metazoa; Chordata; Mammalia; Artiodactyla; Bovidae. The record is from RNAcentral.
ACAAUGGUUUACAUUUCCUUUUUAUUUAUUUCUUGAAACUGCCCAUAUUGCAGGUUUCUCAUGGAUGAAAUAUGGAACUGAGCAGAUUCUUUUUUCUACAAAAUUAUGGUAUAAACUUGCUCAAUUUUCUAUCUUAUUGCUAAUAAACCUUACAGGCGCACAGUUUGUAAAAUAAACCCCUUAAGGACUGAAUGCGUAGAGCAUGCUGCAAGGUACAAGAAAUAAGCUAAAAAUGAGCAUAAACCUACAUCUGGACCAACACAGUACUGAAUGCUGGCAAACAUUUAUCACAACACAGGGAAAAAUUAAUAAAAGGAAAUACAGUUCAUGCUUGAAAACAAAGUCAAAAGUCUGGC